GGUUCCAUAGUGUAGCGGUUAUCACGUCUGCUUUACACGCAGAAGGUCUCCGGUUCGAUCCCGGAUGAAACCA
RNAcentral lists this transfer RNA (73 nucleotides) under Glossina austeni. RNAcentral's name for it is "tRNA tRNA-Val". It matches the Rfam family "tRNA". Rfam says of the family: Transfer RNA (tRNA) molecules are approximately 80 nucleotides in length. Lineage: Eukaryota; Metazoa; Arthropoda; Insecta; Diptera; Glossinidae. The record is from RNAcentral.